Molecule: ribosomal RNA, 164 nt
Filed under: Acer glabrum
Lineage: Eukaryota; Viridiplantae; Streptophyta; Magnoliopsida; Sapindales; Sapindaceae
Description: 5.8S ribosomal RNA
Rfam family: 5.8S ribosomal RNA
About the family: 5.8S ribosomal RNA (5.8S rRNA) is a component of the large subunit of the eukaryotic ribosome. It is transcribed by RNA polymerase I as part of the 45S precursor that also contains 18S and 28S rRNA.
Source: RNAcentral
AAAACGACUCUCGGCAACGGAUAUCUCGGCUCUCGCAUCGAUGAAGAACGUAGCGAAAUGCGAUACUUGGUGUGAAUUGCAGAAUCCCGUUAACCAUCGAGUCUUUGAACGCAAGUUGCGCCCCAAGCCGUUAGGCCGAGGGCACGCCUGCCUGGGUGUCACGC